CAGGUGCUGCAUGGCUGUCGUUCAGCUCGUGUCGUGAGAUGUUCGGUUAAGUCCGCUAACGAGCGCAACCCUCGCUGUGUGUUAUAUGUGUCACACGGGACUGCCGGUCUUAAGCCGGAGGAAGGUGGGGAGUGAUGUCAAGUCAGCAUGGCCUUUAUAUCCUGGGCUACACACACGCUACAAUGGCCAACACAAUAGGUUGCUAAGCCGCGAGGUGGCGCCAAUCCAUAAAGUUGGUCUCAGUUCAGAUUGUAGGCUGCAACCCGCCUGCAUGAAGAUGGAGUUGCUAGUAACCGCAGGUCAGCUAUACUGCGGUGAAUACGUUCCCGGGGCUU
Molecule: ribosomal RNA, 335 nt
Filed under: uncultured Leptolinea sp.
Lineage: Bacteria; Bacillati; Chloroflexota; Anaerolineae; Anaerolineales; Anaerolineaceae
Description: bacterial SSU rRNA
Rfam family: Bacterial small subunit ribosomal RNA
Source: RNAcentral